UACGGAGGGUGCAAGCGUUAUCCGGAUUCACUGGGUUUAAAGGGUGCGUAGGUGGGCUAGUAAGUCCGUGGUGAAAUCCCCGAGCUUAACUCGGGAACUGCCGUGGAUACUAUUAGUCUUGAAUAUCGUGGAGGUAAGCGGAAUAUGUCAUGUAGCGGUGAAAUGCUUAGAUAUGACAUAGAACACCGAUAGCGGAGGCAGCUUACUACGCGAUUAUUGACACUGAGGCACGAAAGCGUGGGGAGCAAACAGG
This 253-nucleotide ribosomal RNA is filed under the name uncultured bacterium. RNAcentral's name for it is "partial 16S ribosomal RNA". It matches the Rfam family "Bacterial small subunit ribosomal RNA", at positions 524 to 776 of the family's 1533-position model. The record is from RNAcentral.